This 874-nucleotide ribosomal RNA is filed under the name uncultured bacterium. Its description in RNAcentral is "bacterial SSU rRNA". It matches the Rfam family "Bacterial small subunit ribosomal RNA", at positions 21 to 893 of the family's 1533-position model. The record is from RNAcentral.
GGCUCAGAAUCAACGCUGGCGGCGUGCCUAACACAUGCAAGUCGAACGAGAAAGUGGGGGCAACCCCAUGAGUAAAGUGGCAGACGGGUGAGUAACACGUGAACAACCUACCCUCGAGUGUGGGAUAACACCGCGAAAGCGGUGCUAAUACCACAUAAUAUCUUCGGGUCGCAUGAUUUGAAGAUCAAAAGCGCAAGUUGCUUGAGGAGGGGUUCGCGCCUGAUUAGCUAGUUGGUGAGGUAACGGCCCACCAAGGCUUCGAUCAGUAGCCGGCCUGAGAGGGCGAACGGCCACACUGGAACUGAGACACGGUCCAGACUCCUACGGGAGGCAGCAGUGGGGAAUUUUGCGCAAUGGGCGAAAGCCUGACGCAGCAACGCCGCGUGGAGGAUGAAGGCCUUCGGGUCGUAAACUCCUGUCAGUAGGGACGAAUGCCUCGCAAGAGGUUUGACUGUACCUGCUGAGGAAGCCACGGCUAACUCCGUGCCAGCAGCCGCGGUAAUACGGAGGUGGCAAGCGUUGUUCGGAAUUACUGGGCGUAAAGGGCGCGUAGGCGGUAUUGCAAGUCAGAUGUGAAAGCCCCGAGCUUAACUCGGGAAUUGCAUCUGAAACUGCUUUGCUUGAGUCCUGGAGGGGGUAGUGGAAUACCCAGUGUAGCGGUGAAAUGCGUAGAUAUUGGGAGGAACACCUGCGGCGAAGGCGGCUACCUGGACAGUGACUGACGCUGAGGCGCGAAAGCUAGGGGAGCGAACGGGAUUAGAUACCCCGGUAGUCCUAGCUGUAAACGAUGGGCACUUGGUGUUGGGGGUAUUGAGUCCCUCGGUGCCGGAGUUAACACGUUAAGUGCCCCGCCUGGGGAGUACGGUUCGCAAGA